This 534-nucleotide ribosomal RNA is filed under the name uncultured bacterium. RNAcentral's name for it is "bacterial SSU rRNA". It matches the Rfam family "Bacterial small subunit ribosomal RNA", at positions 505 to 1040 of the family's 1533-position model. The record is from RNAcentral.
GUGCCAGCCGCUGCGGUAAUACGGAGGGUGCAAGCGUUAAUCGGAAUUACUGGGCGUAAAGCGCACGCAGGCGGUCUGUCAAGUCGGAUGUGAAAUCCCCGGGCUCAACCUGGGAACUGCAUUCGAAACUGGCAGGCUGGAGUCUUGUAGAGGGGGGUAGAAUUCCAGGUGUAGCGGUGAAAUGCGUAGAGAUCUGGAGGAAUACCGGUGGCGAAGGCGGCCCCCUGGACAAAGACUGACGCUCAGGUGCGAAAGCGUGGGGAGCAAACAGGAUUAGAUACCCUGGUAGUCCACGCCGUAAACGAUGUCGAUUUGGAGGUUGUGCCCUUGAGCGUGGCUUCCGGAGCUAACGCGUUAAAUCGACCGCCUGGGGAGUACGGCCGCAAGGUUAAACUCAAAUGAAUUGACGGGGGCCCGCACAAGCGGUGGAGCAUGUGGUUUAAUUCGAUGCAACGCGAAGAACCUUACCUGGUCUUGACAUCCACAGAACUUUCCAGAGAUGGAUUGGUGCCUUCGGGAACUGUGAGACAGGUG